Molecule: ribosomal RNA, 106 nt
Filed under: Tupaia belangeri (northern tree shrew)
Lineage: Eukaryota; Metazoa; Chordata; Mammalia; Scandentia; Tupaiidae
Source: RNAcentral
GUCUACAGCCAUACCACCCUGCAUGCACCUGAUCUCAGAGGCUAAACAGGGUCAAGCCUGGUUAAGACUUGGAUGGGGGGUGGAGCAGCAGAUGGCGUAGUGGUUA